UACGAAGGGGGCUAGCGUUGCUCGGAAGUUACUGGGCGUAAAGGGCGCGUAGGCGGGUCGUUUAGUUAGAGGUGAAAGCCCAGGGCUCGAACCCUGGAAUUGCCUUUAAUACUGGCGGCCUUGAGUAUGGCAGAGGUGUGUGGAACUCCGAGUGUAGAGGUGAAAUUCGUAGAUAUUCGGAAGAACACCAGUGGCGAAGGCGACACACUGGGCCAUUACUGACGCUGAGGCGCGAAAGCGUGGGGAGCAAACAGGAUUAGAUACCCUGGAC
This 271-nucleotide ribosomal RNA is filed under the name uncultured bacterium. RNAcentral describes it as "partial 16S ribosomal RNA". It matches the Rfam family "Bacterial small subunit ribosomal RNA", at positions 524 to 792 of the family's 1533-position model. The record is from RNAcentral.